CAGAUUUGCCAGUUCUUUCUGUGAGAUGUUACCCCACUCUUCCACCAAGACACUUGCAAGUUCCCAGACAUUUCUGGUGGGAAUGGCCAUAGCACUCACCCUCUGAUCCAACAGGUCUCAGACAUGCUCAAUGGGAUUGAGGUCUGGGCUCUUUGCUGGCCAUGGCAGAACACUGACGUUCCUGUCUUGCAGGAAAUCACACACAGAACGAGCAGUAUGGCUGGUGGCAUUGUCAUGCUGGAGGGUCAUGUCAGGAUGAGCCUGCAGGAAGGGUACCAAAUGAGGGAGGAGUCUUCCCUGUAAUACACAGCAUUGAGUUUGCCUGCAAUGACAACAAGCUCAGUCCGAUGAUGCUGUGACACACGGCCCCAGACCAUGGUGGACCCUCCACCUCCAAAUGGAUCCUGCUCCAGAGUACAGGCCUCGGUGUAACACUCAUUCCUUUGACGAUAAAUGAGAGUCCGACCAUCACCCCUGGUGAGACAAAACCGUGACUCGACAGUGAAGAGCACUUUUUGCCAGUCCUGUCUGGUCCAGCAAAGGUGGGUUUGUGCCCAAAGGCGACAUUGUUGCCAGUGAUGUCUGGUAAGGACCUGCCUUACAACAGGCCUACAAGCCCUCAGUCCAGCCUCUCUCAGCCUAUUGCGGACAGUCUGAGCACUGAUGGAGGGAUUGUGCAUUCCUGGUCUACUCAGGCAGUUGUUGUUGCCAUCCUGUUCCUGUCUCGCAGGUGUGAUAUUCAGAUGUACCAAUCCUGUGAAGGUGUUGUUACACGUGGUCUACCACUUCAAGGACGAUUAGCUGUCCUUCAUGUCUCCCUGUAGCGCUGUCUUAGGAAUCUCACAGUAUGGAAUUUAUUGCACUGGCCACAUCUGCAGUCCUCAUGCCUCCCUGAAGCAUGCCUAAGGCACUUUCAUGCAGAUGAGCAGGGACCCUGGGUCAGUAGAAAGGUCUCUUAAGUGUCCUAAGUUUUUAAAACUGUGACCUUAAUUGCCCACCACCUGUAAGCUGUUAGUGUCUUAACAACCAUUCCACAGGUACAUGUUCAUUAAUUGCUUAUGGUUCAUUGAACAAGCAUGGAAUCUCUUUUUACUAUAAAGAUCUGUAAAGUGUUUUGGACUUUUACAAAAUUAUCUUUAAAAUACAGUGUCAUGGAAAAGGCACAUUUCUUUUUUGCUGAGUUAUAUAUAUAUAUAUAUAUAUUCAACAGAUCUAUCUGGGAUGUUGCUUUCUUGUCAAAUUUGUUAUCAUAUCAAUUAUAUAAUAAUGCAGAUUAUUCAAAUUGUUGUUACACUAGGCUGUUAGGAGUUCCUAUGGAGAAUUUUUUUUAAAUGUUCAAUUAUAAUAAAAUUAAAUAAAAACUGAUAAUUUUCAAGAAUAACUUUCAGCUAAUAAAUUGUAGCUUACAGAGUUGGCCGUUAUUGCAACCCUGCCAUUUACCUCCAUAAGCCUGAAAAGAAGAGAACUGAGGCUCAGAGCAAGCCCUUUGAUGCUAAGACUGCCUGCUAUGUGAUUUUUCCCAAGGAGUUGUAUGUCAAAGGAACAAUCAAGAUCAAAGAUGGUGGCAAAGUCAUCGUUAUUGUGCUUGACACUAAGGAGGUGGAUUUACACAUUUCAUGAAAAGUGAAUGCUCAUCCCAUUCAAAUAAUUUACACAGUCUUGAUAAAUUGAAUAUUUGCUGGAUUACAUGUAUAAUUUUGACUGUGAUGCUGUAAUCCGACAACUUCUCUGCUUAUUUCAGACAUACUCUGGACUUUUCUGUGCUACUGUGAUCCCAUACAAGUGAUUCCCAGUGUAUGAUGCAGAAGUGAAGUCAGCCUACAGAGGCAAAAAGUGUAUGGAGGCUCCACCCCUUCACUGUCUCUGACAAUCAGUUCAUGCUUAAAGAUCUAGAUUUACAAGCUGAUUCUGAUUUUGUGGAAUUCUGGAUUUUAGUUUUCAUAAAACAAUUAUUAAAAUGAUUGCCUUUGAUUUUAAAGAGAGAACCACCCAGAUAGCAAAAAAUAUCCGCACGGCUUCUUUUUGCCGCAGUCCCUAAGCUGUCGGCUAUAGGUGCGUCCCACUGGCGGGGAUGAAACAUUUGCCGCCGAAUUCGUCACUCCCAUUUCUUGCGAGAUGCCGCCCGCGAAAAGCUGGCGGUUGCCUCGGGCUGAUCGACCGCGGGCGGCUGGCGGCAAGCCGCUUUGAAAUACAAGGAUUUCUACUCUCAAAAUCGACCAGCCAUGUUGGCUAUUAUUAUUUUUUGCUCCAAAGCCAUCAGGGUUUCUAAGUCUUGACUCUUGAUUCCAUGAUAAGGUAAGGUUUAGGAAAUGACAUUUAAAUUACUUUGAAACUCUGAAGCGAUUAUACAGUAAUAUAUGUAAAAUAUACUGAAUUAUUUUAUGCAUUUGAAAAUUGUUUACAUUUCUUUGAUUGCUGCGCAUUUGAGACAUGCACCAAUAAACCAAAAAUAAUUCCUUUUGUAAAACUUACUUGGCAAUAAAUAUCUUUAUGAUUCUGAUUAGGUUUUAAAAUAGAUACUUAAUUCAUGGUAUGAACAAUUUAGCAGAAUAAAUUGAUGAAGUUAGACUUUUCACGAAUGCCUGACUAUCAGUGAACAGUGAAAGACAUCUGCAACAUGGCCAAAAUCUCGGGUAUACUGUAAUUUUUUUUAUUAAUUUGCAACCAUAGUGAUAUCUAUCAUAAACAUGAAAAUCCCUGUUUUGACGUGAAGGAUAAACUCAAUGAAAAAGCGGAAUUAUCCUCUGGUUUCACAGUUGCGCAGAAAUUUCGUUUAUGUCUACAGGUUUUGCAAUUAUGACCUGUACAAAUGUUUAAGAAAGCGUUAAAGUCCCUGUAAAGGCAAUAAAAAUAAAUCUAAACGCAUUAUAAAUGUUAAAAAUGUAUUGUUAAAACACAUUACAAAGACUGAACUGUGAAGUUCCGCUGUCGCCAUAUCUGUUUCCGGUUUACUUGAGCGUCGCCCAAAAUGUCUGUUUUUACUCGAUGUCUCCAGAAUCUUCUGAAAAUACGCGUCAGCGAUGUUCAUCGCAUUGUUGAUGCCUGGUCCCCUGCUCCGACAAGCAAGAGGGACAAGGGCUUUAAACUCUACAUAUCGAGUUAUCUGCACAACUAUAAGGGUAAGUAUUUUAAUCUAAUGUGGUGUGCCGGCAGAUAGCGGCUAAGCUAGUUCGCCACGUGUUCAUUUUUAAUGUAAGGUUAGUAUAGAAGCUUGUUUUUUCUUAGUUUUAAAGCAGACUGUUUGUUAACUUUUGUGAUAAUUGUAAUAUAAAUUAUAUUAACUUGCUCUCCUCUCAGUUUCUAAUAAAGAUCAGGGCACAGGUGAAGUCACUGUCAGGGCAUUGUGCUACAGGUCCACGAGGAAAGCAGAUAAACCUCACAGUUUGAGUGUAUGGUGAAGCUAGAAAUGAUAAGACCACAGUUAUAGGCUUGUUACUUUAAUAGCCCGAUGUUCCUGGGGACUCGGCUAAGGUUAUUCAUGUUUAAUGUAACUCAAAUCAAAUGAAAACAGUUAUUGUAGGCAGGUAAGUUUCCCUAGCUAGUCCCCUCCGGGUAAAAUGCGUUCUUAUUCAAGUUUUCAACUCAGUCAUUCGUUUAAGAUGCAAUCUUGUGUUAUAAGUAUUAGGCUAUCAUGAUUAUACAGUGAGCAAGCUAUAUAAAUAAGUAUUUAAUAUAAUGAAAGUGUAGAGCAACAACCGAGGGUGUAAGGUAAAGGCUGAAUAUUGUAGAUUUAUUACAAUAUGUUGCAUGUUUGAUUUGAAAUACCUGUGGAUAUGCAACUUCCCACUCAUGAAAGUUUUAUGUUAUUAAAGGAGCACACUCUCUACAAAGGCCUGACUGGAGAUUUGCCUGACCUAUCCGUCCUUCAGGUGACAGCGGCUCACUUCAAGAGCAGGUGAAGCAAGUUGGGCCAAUGUUGAAGACAUUUGCUCGCACUGGGCAAUCAGGUGCAGAUCAAACCCUAAUGCUGCGACGUCUUGGAGUUUGGCGAUGUUGUGCGUAGCAUGGACAACAAAAUGCUAUGCUGCAACAUUUCAGUGCCAAUGUGUCUGUUGGAGAGUUAUCCCUGCCAGGGGAUCCGUUACUCCCCCCUAGACACCCAGGAAGAUUUGCCGUUGCUUGACAACAGUUUGAGGCAGGAUAAAGAGCUCCAGCAACGAUUUCUUCGGUUUUUGGCAAUCAAAUGUGGGAGGGACCUAAAGACAACCGUGUGGUGAAUGCUUCAGAGUAUCUUCUCUAAUCACCUUUACAUCAAUACAACCUGGACUGGUGUAGUGGAUAAAGCAUGUUUUAGAGACAUGUUCCUGAAGACCAUUGUUCAAAGAGCCAUCCGGUAGAACCCGGCAACCCAGGAUGCCACUGAUGAGGCGAUCCAGGUUAACGUUACGCGUUACCUGAAAGGAGCAUCUGAACAUGAAGGUGGAAAAAGGCGCCGCACAGCUGAGAGGGACCCACAGCCGACACCUUAAACCUAGGCUGACUACUGACACUCCAGCAUCACUGACAACUGGAACCCUUUCUUUAUCCUGCAGUCAGUAACAUCAAGACCCCUAAAAAAAGCCUGCUAAAAGUGUCAGACUACACUCACCCAAUCCACACUGUUCACUGUGGAAAUUGCUCUUUUUUUUUUUUUUUUUUUCUCGUGACCCUGCUUUGAGGGCAGCUCCUUGGAUGAAUAUGGGAUGGUUUGUCCUUUUAUACAGGCGCACGAGGAAUCACUGAAGAUAUGCCAAUUUGCACUGCCUCAUUCUGGAGGUCGGGGAAAACCGGUGAUUCUUAGCCCGCCACGCAGACCCCAACCUCUCCAGACGUUCUGAUUGGCUGUGUUCUCUACAGCCAGAUAUUCUGCUGUUAAUUAUAUUUAUUCCCACUUGUUGUCAUGUGUAAGUUGAAUGUCAAAAUGUAUAUUAUACCUGUUAUCCUGCACAUUCCUUGAUACCAAAGAUCUCCAUUAUUUCAUAUACAAUUUGCUGCUUAUUUCAUUGUUACAGUGCUUAACUAUUCUAUUUUUAAAUAUAGCUUGUAAAUCCUAGAUUAUACAUCUAAUACUUGAUAUUUGCACAUUAUCUGGUAUCAAAUAUUCUACUUACCGUGACUUUAGUAUUGGCUUAUUUCAUUCCGUCAGUGCUUAACGAUUCUAUUAUAGUUUGUAAAUCCUAUUUCAUGCCUGAUAUUUGAUAUUGCACAUUAACUAGUACCAAAAAUUCUACUUUCAUUCCUUCACAGUGCUUAACUGUUAUUCUAUUGUUAAAUAUAGCUUGUCAAACGUGCGCCGUCAAACGUGUUUGCGAUAUCGCCAUUCUGCCGCUUCUACUGCCGCCCGCGCACCGC
Xyrauchen texanus (razorback sucker) is the source of this 5331-nucleotide long non-coding RNA. RefSeq lists it as uncharacterized. The transcript is spliced from 5 exons. NCBI's taxonomy places the organism in Eukaryota, Metazoa, Chordata, Actinopteri, Cypriniformes, Catostomidae. The record is from RefSeq and is a predicted model, not a curated record.